AACGAACGCUGGCGGCAUGCCUAACACAUGCAAGUCGAACGAGACCUUCGGGUCUAGUGGCGCACGGGUGCGUAACGCGUGGGAACCUGCCCUUAGGUUCGGAAUAACUCCCCGAAUGGGGUGCUAAUACCGGAUAAUGUCUUCGGUCCAAAGAUUUAUCGCCUUUGGAUGGGCCCGCGUUGGAUUAGCUAGUUGGUAGGGUAAAAGCCUACCAAGGCGACGAUCCAUAGCUGGUCUGAGAGGAUGAUCAGCCACACUGGGACUGAGACACGGCCCAGACUCCUACGGGAGGCAGCAGUGGGGAAUAUUGGACAGUGGGCGAAAGCCUGAUCCAGCAAGGACGCGUGAGUGAUGAAGGCCUUAGGGUUGUAAAGCUCUUUUACCCGGGAUGAUAAUGACAGUACCGGGAGAAUAAGCUCCGGCUAACUCCGUG
RNAcentral lists this ribosomal RNA (433 nucleotides) under uncultured bacterium. Its description in RNAcentral is "partial 16S ribosomal RNA". It matches the Rfam family "Bacterial small subunit ribosomal RNA", at positions 29 to 507 of the family's 1533-position model. The record is from RNAcentral.